CCGGACUUGAUGGGCGGUCUUCCCUGAGGACGGAGUGGAGGCGCCAUGGCGGUUGCGGGCCCGCGUGUGGGGCUGGCUGGUCUGCGGGAGGAAGACGUUCCCCGCCCGCACCCCGGCCGGUGCAAAGGGGCUGUGCCCGCUCCUCGAGGCUCCGCGUCUUCCUUUCCGGCCACCCCGCGCGGUGUAUCCCCACCUUCUCAGUGGCCAAGAGAAAUGUUUCCGCCCCUUGUCCUCAAUAGCACGGAAUUAUCCACUUAUUCCUUUGUUCAAAGACCUUAACUAACAGACUAUACACGGAUGAUGUGCAGAAGUUCCAGGCACAGUGACGAUUUUUAAAAUACCAACCAUUGCAUACUUCAUAAGACCAUUUAAGAUGAAAUAUAUUAAAACUUAAAACUUCAACAGAAUACUUAAAAGCAAAAAUUGUGACCAUUAAAAGCAAGAAAUGAUACUCAGGCAAGUUAUUUCCCUGGUGGACCAAUGUAGCUGUAAGAAAAUAGUAUAUUUAUUCAGGUGUGAACUCUGGUCAUCCACAUGUGAAACCUGGGAAUGAGUAUUAUUCUUCAACAUGAGGAAAAUGAAAGACAGUCUCAGACAAAAGCUGAAGGAGUUCAGUACCAUAAUACCUAUCCUUCAAGAAAUGCUAAAGGGAGUACUUCAAGUUCAAAUGGAAGGACACCAGAAACUUGAGGCCAUAUGAAAAUAUAUAUUUCUCUGAUAAAGCCUACGACAUCUUGUAAAUACUCUGAAGAUAGUUCUCCAAGUUCCUUCUGGUAUAUUUCAUUGGGAAUUGGAAAUUGGCUGUGCACUCAAAGUAUGCACAAGUGAACAGAUCGGGAAAGGAGACUUCUCACCUGCAAACGUGUCCAAGGACUGACACCUUCCUCAAGCUCAGCACCUAGAACACGGAUCUGAUUGAGCUAAACUGGUGAUGCACCUGCUUCCCAGCGAGGCUGUGAUCGCUAAUGGCUGUCUCCUGCUCCUGUGUCCGUGGCCUGCUCAGGAUAUGGGAGACACUUAGGCUGGCUCCUCAAUGCGUUGUGUAACUUCCAAGGCCGAGAACUUGCUGAGCAAAACAUAACUUCUUUACUUUUGUGAACACCUGGCCUCCAGAAGGCGGAAAUAUUUAGUGACAAUGUACUGAGGACAUAAUUCCUUAUUCGUUCCCUGAUCUACACAGGUCUGUCACAGAGACAAGUAAAACAGGGAAUCAGGCUUAUGGGUCAUUACUUGGCUGGGUCAAGAAGCUCUAGGCCAUGUGGGAAGACCCCUCUCUCCUCCGAGAUUUCUGCUUCAACCAAUGGGGAGCAGCUGCCCUUAAGUUCUGAACUGAAACCCUAUAAAUUCACAUAUUGAAGUGCAGACCCUUGUACCUCAAAAUGUGACUGUAUUUGGGAAUAGGGCCUUACGAGAUAUGAUGAAGUUAAAAUGGGUCAUAUGGGUGAGCCCUAAUCCAGAGCUGUGCCCCUACGAGAAGAUUAGGACAUAGCGACGCACACUCAGCUCACAUAGGUAAGUCCAUCUGAGGACGCAGCAAGAAUACGGCCAUCUGCAAGCAAGGGAGAGAGGUCUCAGAAGAAACUGAACCUGUAGACACCUUGAUCUGGGACUCGAAGCCUCCAGAGUUGUGAGAAAAUUAAUUAAGCCGCCCAGUCUGCAGUAUCUUACUCUGGCAACCCUAGCAAAACCCUAAUACAACUAUAUUUCUCCUUUAUCCUCUUUCUUUCAAAUAAAAAUUAUGAAAAUAGCACCAAAAAACACAGUGUAUAAAGUAUUUGAAAGGAGAAAAAAGCAGGGGAACCACAGGAAGGGCUGAUGAACUACACAGCCGUGAUUUCACUGGUUUUCUUUGUCUCCUACCAAAGUAAGGGAAAAUAGUCAAAAUCACCAUGGAAGGCUUGAGUAGACAUUUUAGAGAAGGCAAAUCUCUAUGGUAGAACAAACUUGAAAUGUAUUCAGUUGGUAGAAUAAAUGCAUUUUAAUCUUUGGAGGUUUAAAAAAAUUCAAUUUCUUGGAUUUCUAGAGCGGUUGUAAUACAUGUACAUGGUUGAAGGUCCUGAAAAUUGCAUUACAUUGUGCCCCCCACCACCUCCCCCUCUUUGCCCAGGAGUCCCUGCCCUCCACAGGUAGCCAUGUAUCUGGUUUCCCACGGCAAACUUCCAGAGUGUCUUUAUGUGCAUACAAGCAAAUGUGAAUGUAUAUUUCUCCUUGGCACCCUAAUUAAAAACACAAAUAGAAUAGCA
Molecule: non-coding RNA, 2243 nt
Organism: Delphinapterus leucas (beluga whale)
Lineage: Eukaryota; Metazoa; Chordata; Mammalia; Artiodactyla; Monodontidae
Source: RefSeq, a predicted model, not a curated record